Molecule: ribosomal RNA, 3029 nt
Filed under: Salmonella enterica subsp. enterica serovar Thompson
Lineage: Bacteria; Pseudomonadati; Pseudomonadota; Gammaproteobacteria; Enterobacterales; Enterobacteriaceae
Description: 23S ribosomal RNA
Rfam family: Bacterial large subunit ribosomal RNA
Source: RNAcentral
GGGUUGUGAGGUUAAGCGACUAAGCGUACACGGUGGAUGCCCUGGCAGUCAGAGGCGAUGAAGGGCGUGCUAAUCUGCGAUAAGCGCCGGUAAGGUGAUAUGAACCGUUAUAACCGGCGAUACCCGAAUGGGGAAACCCAGUGUGAUUCGUCACACUAUCAUUAACUGAAUCCAUAGGUUAAUGAGGCGAACCGGGGGAACUGAAACAUCUAAGUACCCCGAGGAAAAGAAAUCAACCGAGAUUCCCCCAGUAGCGGCGAGCGAACGGGGAGGAGCCCAGAGCCUGAAUCAGCAUGUGUGUUAGUGGAAGCGUCUGGAAAGGCGCGCGAUACAGGGUGACAGCCCCGUACACAAAAGCGCAUGUGCUGUGAGCUCGAUGAGUAGGGCGGGACACGUGGUAUCCUGUCUGAAUAUGGGGGGACCAUCCUCCAAGGCUAAAUACUCCUGACUGACCGAUAGUGAACCAGUACCGUGAGGGAAAGGCGAAAAGAACCCCGGCGAGGGGAGUGAAAAAGAACCUGAAACCGUGUACGUACAAGCAGUGGGAGCCCCACCACUAAGCCAGUGGUGAACUCCACAUACGCAUCCUUUGCUGAAGGCAAUGGUUAACGGAGCGAAAGCGACGUUCAACCGCAAAACAAGCAGAGGGGGCUUAGUGGUGGGGUGACUGCGUACCUUUUGUAUAAUGGGUCAGCGACUUAUAUUCUGUAGCAAGGUUAACCGUAUAGGGGAGCCGGAGGGAAACCGAGUCUUAAUUGGGCGUUAAGUUGCAGGGUAUAGACCCGAAACCCGGUGAUCUAGCCAUGGGCAGGUUGAAGGUUGGGUAACACUAACUGGAGGACCGAACCGACUAAUGUUGAAAAAUUAGCGGAUGACCUGUGGCUGGGGGUGAAAGGCCAAUCAAACCGGGAGAUAGCUGGUUCUCCCCGAAAGCUAUUUAGGUAGCGCCUCGUGAAUUCAUCUCCGGGGGUAGAGCACUGUUUCGGCUAGGGGGCCAUCCCGGCUUACCAACCCGAUGCAAACUGCGAAUACCGGAGAAUGUUAUCACGGGAGACACACGGCGGGUGCUAACGUCCGUCGUGAAGAGGGAAACAACCCAGACCGCCAGCUAAGGUCCCAAAGUCAUGGUUAAGUGGGAAACGAUGUGGGAAGGCCCAGACAGCCAGGAUGUUGGCUUAGAAGCAGCCAUCAUUUAAAGAAAGCGUAAUAGCUCACUGGUCGAGUCGGCCUGCGCGGAAGAUGUAACGGGGCUAAACCAUGCACCGAAGCUGCGGCAGCGACGCUUAUGCGUUGUUGGGUAGGGGAGCGUUCUGUAAGCCUGCGAAGGUGGCCUGUGAGGGUUGCUGGAGGUAUCAGAAGUGCGAAUGCUGACAUAAGUAACGAUAAAGCGGGUGAAAAGCCCGCUCGCCGGAAGACCAAGGGUUCCUGUCCAACGUUAAUCGGGGCAGGGUGAGUCGACCCCUAAGGCGAGGCCGAAAGGCGUAGUCGAUGGGAAACAGGUUAAUAUUCCUGUACUUGGUGUUACUGCGAAGGGGGGACGGAGAAGGCUAUGUUGGCCGGGCGACGGUUGUCCCGGUUUAAGCGUGUAGGUGUGUGUUCCAGGUAAAUCCGGUUCACUUUAACACUGAGGCGUGAUGACGAGGCACUACGGUGCUGAAGCAACAAAUGCCCUGCUUCCAGGAAAAGCCUCUAAGCAUCAGGUAACAUCAAAUCGUACCCCAAACCGACACAGGUGGUCAGGUAGAGAAUACCAAGGCGCUUGAGAGAACUCGGGUGAAGGAACUAGGCAAAAUGGUGCCGUAACUUCGGGAGAAGGCACGCUGACACGUAGGUGAAGUGAUUUACUCAUGGAGCUGAAGUCAGUCGAAGAUACCAGCUGGCUGCAACUGUUUAUUAAAAACACAGCACUGUGCAAACACGAAAGUGGACGUAUACGGUGUGACGCCUGCCCGGUGCCGGAAGGUUAAUUGAUGGGGUCAGCGCAAGCGAAGCUCCUGAUCGAAGCCCCGGUAAACGGCGGCCGUAACUAUAACGGUCCUAAGGUAGCGAAAUUCCUUGUCGGGUAAGUUCCGACCUGCACGAAUGGCGUAAUGAUGGCCAGGCUGUCUCCACCCGAGACUCAGUGAAAUUGAACUCGCUGUGAAGAUGCAGUGUACCCGCGGCAAGACGGAAAGACCCCGUGAACCUUUACUAUAGCUUGACACUGAACAUUGAGCCUUGAUGUGUAGGAUAGGUGGGAGGCUUUGAAGCGUGGACGCCAGUCUGCGUGGAGCCGACCUUGAAAUACCACCCUUUAAUGUUUGAUGUUCUAACGUGGACCCGUAAUCCGGGUUGCGGACAGUGUCUGGUGGGUAGUUUGACUGGGGCGGUCUCCUCCUAAAGAGUAACGGAGGAGCACGAAGGUUGGCUAAUCCUGGUCGGACAUCAGGAGGUUAGUGCAAUGGCAUAAGCCAGCUUGACUGCGAGCGUGACGGCGCGAGCAGGUGCGAAAGCAGGUCAUAGUGAUCCGGUGGUUCUGAAUGGAAGGGCCAUCGCUCAACGGAUAAAAGGUACUCCGGGGAUAACAGGCUGAUACCGCCCAAGAGUUCAUAUCGACGGCGGUGUUUGGCACCUCGAUGUCGGCUCAUCACAUCCUGGGGCUGAAGUAGGUCCCAAGGGUAUGGCUGUUCGCCAUUUAAAGUGGUACGCGAGCUGGGUUUAGAACGUCGUGAGACAGUUCGGUCCCUAUCUGCCGUGGGCGCUGGAGAACUGAGGGGGGCUGCUCCUAGUACGAGAGGACCGGAGUGGACGCAUCACUGGUGUUCGGGUUGUCAUGCCAAUGGCACUGCCCGGUAGCUAAAUGCGGAAGAGAUAAGUGCUGAAAGCAUCUAAGCACGAAACUUGCCCCGAGAUGAGUUCUCCCUGAGACUUAGAGUCUCCUGAAGGAACGUUGAAGACGACGACGUUGAUAGGCCGGGUGUGUAAGCGCAGCGAUGCGUUGAGCUAACCGGUACUAAUGAACCGUGAGGCUUAACCUUACAACGCCGAAG